UGGGGAAUCUUCCGCAAUGGACGAAAGUCUGACGGAGCAACGCCGCGUGAGUGAUGACGGUCUUCGGAUUGUAAAGCUCUGUUAAUCGGGACGAAUGGUUUGUGUGCAAAUAGUGCAUAGACAUGACGGUACCGGAAUAGAAAGCCACGGCUAACUACGUGCCAGCAGCCGCGGUAAUACGUAGGUGGCAAGCGUUGUCCGGAAUUAUUGGGCGUAAAGCGCGCGCAGGCGGACUAGCCAGUCAGUCUUAAAAGUUCGGGGCUUAACCCCGUGAUGGGAUUGAAACUACUAGUCUAGAGUAUCGGAGAGGAAAGUGGAAUUCCUAGUGUAGCGGUGAGAUGCGUAGAUAUUAGGAAGAACACCAGUGGCGAAGGCGACUUUCUGGACGAACACUGACGCUGAGGCGCGAAAGCCAGGGGAGCGAACGGG
RNAcentral lists this ribosomal RNA (429 nucleotides) under Verrucomicrobiota bacterium. RNAcentral describes it as "Verrucomicrobia bacterium partial 16S ribosomal RNA". It matches the Rfam family "Bacterial small subunit ribosomal RNA", at positions 355 to 776 of the family's 1533-position model. The record is from RNAcentral. Lineage: Bacteria; Pseudomonadati; Verrucomicrobiota.